This 468-nucleotide ribosomal RNA is filed under the name uncultured bacterium. RNAcentral describes it as "partial 16S ribosomal RNA". It matches the Rfam family "Bacterial small subunit ribosomal RNA", at positions 28 to 507 of the family's 1533-position model. The record is from RNAcentral.
GACGAACGCUGGCGGCGUGCUUAGCACAUGCAAGUCGAACGGAAAGGCCCUGCUUUUGUGGGGUGCUCGAGUGGCGAACGGGUGAGUAACACGUGAGUAACCUGCCCUUGACUUUGGGAUAACUUCAGGAAACUGGGGCUAAUACCGGAUAGGAGCUCCUGCUGCAUGGUGGGGGUUGGAAAGUUUCGGCGGUUGGGGAUGGACUCGCGGCUUAUCAGCUUGUUGGUGGGGUAGUGGCUUACCAAGGCUUUGACGGGUAGCCGGCCUGAGAGGGUGACCGGCCACAUUGGGACUGAGAUACGGCCCAGACUCCUACGGGAGGCAGCAGUAGGGAAUAUUGCACAAUGGGAGGAAGCCUGAUGCGGCAACGCCGCGUGCGGGAUGACGGCCUUCGGGUUGUAAACCGCUUUCGCCUGUGACGAAGCGUGAGUGACGGUAAUGGGUAAAGAAGCACCGGCUAACUACGUG